GUGCUCGCUUUGGCAGCACAUAAGCUAAAAUUGGAACAAUACAGAGAAGAUUAGCAUGGACCCUGUGCAAAGGUGACACACAGAUUUGUGACGCAUUCCAUGUUUAA
Balaenoptera musculus (blue whale) is the source of this 107-nucleotide small nuclear RNA. The record is from Ensembl. Lineage: Eukaryota; Metazoa; Chordata; Mammalia; Artiodactyla; Balaenopteridae.